GACGAACGCUGGCGGCGUGCUUAACACAUGCAAGUCGAACGGAAAGGCCCUGCUUGCCGGGUACUCGAGUGGCGAACGGGCGAGUAACACGUGGGUGAUCUGCCCUGCACUUCGGGAUAAGCCUGGGAAACUGGGUCUAAUACCGGAUAGGAGCCAUUUUUAGUGUGAUGGUUGGAAAGUUUUUUCGGUGUAGGAUGAGCUCGCGGCCUAUCAGCUUGUUGGUGGGGUAAUGGCCUACCAAGGCGGCGACGGGUAGCCGGCCUGAGAGGGUGGACGGCCACAUUGGGACUGAGAUACGGCCCAGACUCCUACGGGAGGCAGCAGUGGGGAAUAUUGCACAAUGGGCGCAAGCCUGAUGCAGCGACGCCGCGUGGGGGAGGACGGCCUUCGGGUUGUAAACUCCUUUCGCUAGGGACGAAGCUUUUUGUGACGGUACCUAGAGAAGAAGCACCGGCUAACUACGUG
Molecule: ribosomal RNA, 465 nt
Filed under: uncultured bacterium
Lineage: Bacteria
Description: partial 16S ribosomal RNA
Rfam family: Bacterial small subunit ribosomal RNA
Source: RNAcentral